This 253-nucleotide ribosomal RNA is filed under the name uncultured bacterium. RNAcentral's name for it is "partial 16S ribosomal RNA". It matches the Rfam family "Bacterial small subunit ribosomal RNA", at positions 524 to 776 of the family's 1533-position model. The record is from RNAcentral.
UACGGAGGGUGCAAGCGUUAUCCGGAUUCACUGGGUUUAAAGGGUGCGUAGGCGGUCAUGUAAGUCAGUGGUGAAAGCUUCCAGCUUAACUGGGAAACUGCCAUUGAAACUGUGUGACUUGAGUACAAUUGAAGUGGGCGGAAUACAUCAUGUAGCGGUGAAAUGCUUAGAUAUGAUGUAGAACACCGAUUGCGAAGGCAGCUCACUAAAUUGCAACUGACGCUGAGGCACGAAAGCGUGGGUAGCGAACAGG